This 486-nucleotide unclassified non-coding RNA is filed under the name Hevea brasiliensis (rubber tree). Lineage: Eukaryota; Viridiplantae; Streptophyta; Magnoliopsida; Malpighiales; Euphorbiaceae. The record is from RNAcentral.
GCUUGGCAACUUGUUGGGACACCUAUAGAUGAAAGACAUGAAGUAAUCAGUUGGUACAAUGCUCCAAUCUAGCCAACUAAAAAAUCUAGGACUAAGCCCUUAUGUUGCAUUUGGAUAGAAGAUUAAAAUCCUAACAUUUGUACUUUAGUUGUGCAAUGCUUAUUUUAUAUAUAUAUAUAAAGCAUUGCACAUAAAUUGGUAUUCUAUAUAUGAAUAAUAGUAAUAAUAUCAUCUUCUUUGUGCUUUUGGUUGCUUUUCCAAAUACUUUAACUGUGAUAAAAUGUUCAAAAGAUACAACAGAACAUUUUUAUUAUGACUUAAUAAAUCCCAUGAAAAUUAUGUAUAUUGAGAUUUUUAUCAAAAACCAUGAAAAUAGGUUACAACACCCCCAGCCCUUUCACAUGAGAAGAAAGAGGGGAAAAAAUCUUUUUCAAAAAAGUAACAGUUAAGUGUUCUAAACAAACCUUUUCAAGAUCCCGGUUUUGG